This is a long non-coding RNA of Papaver somniferum (opium poppy), 775 nucleotides long. RefSeq lists it as uncharacterized. Lineage: Eukaryota; Viridiplantae; Streptophyta; Magnoliopsida; Ranunculales; Papaveraceae. The transcript has 3 exons. The record is from RefSeq and is a predicted model, not a curated record.
CUUUUCUUUUCUCUUUCUUUCUUCUUCCUUCUUCUUCUCUGUUCUUUCUCAUUCCUUCUCUGCCGAUAUCAGUUCAGAAGAACUGAGUUAUCUUUGUGUGUGAAAUUCAUAGAAAAUUAGGUAGCUUGAUGAAUCGAAGAAGAUGAAGUUAUAAUUGGGGUUGUUCAAGCUUCAGGAGAAGAAGAAGGUGAUGUUAAUCUUGAAUUGAAGUUAGGGUUUCUGAAGUUAGGGUUCGUGUAGAACUGAUGAUGAUAUAUUGUUGCUAAUGGAUGAAGAACUGAGGGGUUACUAUUGAUUUGAUGAAGUGAAGCUGUUCUGAUGAUGAAUCGAAUAGAAAAGUUACUCUUUAUUAACGAUCGAAUCAAACGAUGAACUAGUGGAUUGUAGAUCUCGAGGUAGGCGUGGCUUGUCAUCUAAUCAGUUUCAGUAUUCAGAAGAAAAGGCGCACGUGAAGAUAUUCGUUUCCGUAGCGUAAAGUUUCAGCGAAUUGAAGAUGUUUAUUUAUAUUUUAUAUAUGUAUAAUUUCUCUGUAAACAACACAUGGUUAUAUUUGUAUCACAUGAGAGAUCUUCAUUUAUACUUAUCAGAGUGUAUGGGUUUUUUGCUUUUAUACUUAGCUUACGUAGUCUAGAUUCUUAAGAUCGUUAGUCUAGAUUUUAUGCUUCAAUUAGUUUGUAAUCCUACUAGCUAAGCAGGUUUAGUACUUGGGGCAUCACAAAUAAAGUUUGUAUUAAUUAUUAUUCAUAUUUAAUUAAUCGAAUCAUUAGCGAUUAAA